GGGGAUGUAGCUCAGUGGUAGAGUACUUGCCUAACAUGUGUGAGGCUGAAAAGAUUUUAUUUAAAAAGUAAAAAGACAGCCAAUAGGAUGGGAGAAAACAUUUUCAAAUUAUGUAUCUAGGGGCUGGGGCUGGAGCUGGCUCAGCAGUAGAGCACUUGCCUAGCACGUGCAAAGCCCUGGGUUCGAUCCUCAGCACCACA
Molecule: transfer RNA, 200 nt
Filed under: Marmota monax (woodchuck)
Lineage: Eukaryota; Metazoa; Chordata; Mammalia; Rodentia; Sciuridae
Description: tRNA.Val
Source: RNAcentral